AUUGAACGCUGGCGGCAUGCUUUACACAUGCAAGUCGAACGGCAGCGCGGGCUUCGGCCUGGCGUCGAGUGGCGAACGGGUGAGUAAUACAUCGGAACGUGCCCAGCAGUGGGGGAUAGCCCGGCGAAAGCCGGAUUAAUACCGCAAACGACCAGAGGGUGAAAGCGGGGGAUCUUCGGACCUCGCGCUAUUGGAGCGGCCGAUGGCGGAUUAGCUAGUUGGUGGGGUAAAGGCCUACCAAGGCGACGAUCCGUAGCUGGUCUGAGAGGACGACCAGCCACACUGGAACUGAGACACGGCCCAGACUCCUACGGGAGGCAGCAGUGGGGAAUUUUGGACAAUGGGCGAAAGCCUGAUCCAGCAAUGCCGCGUGUGUGAUGAAGGCCUUCGGGUUGUAAAGCACUUUUGGCGGGAACGAAAAGGACUGUGCCAAUACCACGGUUCGAUGACGGUACCCGCAGAAUAAGCACCGGCUAACUACGUG
This 484-nucleotide ribosomal RNA is filed under the name uncultured bacterium. RNAcentral describes it as "partial 16S ribosomal RNA". It matches the Rfam family "Bacterial small subunit ribosomal RNA", at positions 29 to 507 of the family's 1533-position model. The record is from RNAcentral.